Choloepus didactylus (southern two-toed sloth) is the source of this 1056-nucleotide RNA transcript. It is a transcript of the gene named F-box and leucine rich repeat protein 22, with no coding region annotated. The transcript has 3 exons. The record is from RefSeq and is a predicted model, not a curated record. NCBI's taxonomy places the organism in Eukaryota, Metazoa, Chordata, Mammalia, Pilosa, Megalonychidae.
UCAGGCGUGGCCGUUGCUUACCAUGCACAUAACCCAGCUCAACCGGGAGUGCCUGCUGCACCUCUUUUCCUUCCUGGACAAGGACAGCAGGAAGAGCCUUGCCAGGACCUGCUCCCAGCUCCAGGAUGUGUUUGAAGACCCAGCACUCUGGCCCCUGCUGCAUUUUCAUUCCCUCACAGAACUCAAGAAGGAUAACUUCCUCCUGAGCCCAGCGCUCAGGAGCCUCUCCAUCUGCUGGCACUCAAGCCGGGUGCAGGUGUGCAGCAUUGAGGACUGGCUCAAGAGCACCUUCCAGAGGAGUAUCUGCAGCCAGCACGAGAGCCUGGUCAAUGACUUCCUCCUCCAGGUGUGCGACAGGUGCCCCAACCUGGUGUCCGUCACGUUAGCGGGCUGCGGCCACGUCACCGACGACUGUCUGGCGCGCCUGCUGUGCUGCUGUCCGCGCCUGCGCGCGCUGCGCCUGGAGAACUGCGCGCGCGUCACCAACCGCACGCUGACGGCCGUGGCGGCGCACGGGCGCGCGCUGCAGACUCUGCACGUGGACUUCUGCCGCAACGUGAGCGCCACCGGCCUGCGCAGCCUGCGCGCCGCGUGCCCACGCCUGGAGCUGCGCGCCGAACAUAGCGCAGCCAUGAUGCCGGAUCAGCUCCCAGGUAGCACGUUAGCUGCCCGGAUGGCCGUCCGCAAGUUGCUGCCGCACUAGACCUGCCGGGCCGCGGGGACGAUGCCCCGCUAAGGACCUCUGUGUUGGAGGGAUUGGGGACCGGGCAGUCAGAUAAUUUGGCUUGGAACCCUAGCUUCUCCAGUUCCCAGACUAAUCACUGCUGCUUCUGAGCCUCAGUUUCCCCGCCUGCAAAAUGGGGAUACUGCCUACCUCACUUUGCAACUUUAUACUUUUGAUGAAUGCGAGAUUAAAUUAAUCAACGGAUGCAUGAUCCAAAAGGAUUUCAUAAUAAAUUAAAAACAAAACAAAGAACAAAAGGAUUAGAAAUGGCCCACCAGUCCUGCUACAUGCUGGAGCAAAACAGCGGCAAUUUUAUUUGCUGUGUCUGGGAA